AGUGAACGCUGGCGGUAGGCCUAACACAUGCCAGUCGAACGGCAGCACAGUAAGAGCUUGCUCUUACGGGUGGCGAGUGGCGGACGGGUGAGGAAUACAUCGGAAUCUACUUUUUCGUGGGGGAUAACGUAGGGAAACUUACGCUAAUACCGCAUACGACCUACGGGUGAAAGCAGGGGAUCUUCGGACCUUGCGCGAUUGAAUGAGCCGAUGUCGGAUUAGCUAGUUGGCGGGGUAAAGGCCCACCAAGGCGACGAUCCGUAGCUGGUCUGAGAGGAUGAUCAGCCACACUGGAACUGAGACACGGUCCAGACUCCUACGGGAGGCAGCAGUGGGGAAUAUUGCACAAUGGGCGCAAGCCUGAUCCAGCCAUACCGCGUGGGUGAAGAAGGCCUUCGGGUUGUAAAGCCCUUUUGUUGGGAAAGAAAAGCAGCAGGUUAAUACCCCGCUGUUCUGACGGUACCCAAAGAAUAAGCACCGGCUAACUUCGUG
This 492-nucleotide ribosomal RNA is filed under the name uncultured bacterium. Its description in RNAcentral is "partial 16S ribosomal RNA". It matches the Rfam family "Bacterial small subunit ribosomal RNA", at positions 29 to 507 of the family's 1533-position model. The record is from RNAcentral.